UGUCUUGCAUUGCUGUGCCCAUAUCCUGU
RNAcentral lists this non-coding RNA (29 nucleotides) under Mus musculus (house mouse). The record is from RNAcentral. Lineage: Eukaryota; Metazoa; Chordata; Mammalia; Rodentia; Muridae.